RNAcentral lists this unclassified non-coding RNA (342 nucleotides) under fungal sp. Its description in RNAcentral is "partial internal transcribed spacer region". The stretch from base 1 to 46 matches the Rfam family "Eukaryotic small subunit ribosomal RNA", at positions 1786 to 1831 of the family's 1831-position model. The record is from RNAcentral. Lineage: Eukaryota; Fungi.
AAGUCGUAACAAGGUUUCCGUAGGUGAACCUGCGGAAGGAUCAUUCUAAAGAGUGGAUAAGAUUAGUUUUUGUGACUAGUUUUAUUUCGCGCGAUACCUGUGUUUUGGAGAGAGUGGGUAGAUUUGGGGAUGGGUAUGAGUUUUUGGAUUGUUAGUUGAUGUGGUUCACAUGAAGAAUGUUGACUAGCAGCCAGGAGUACAUUCCCGCCUCGAUCCAACCACCAUCAUUGCUUGAUUGCAGUGACCCUAUCUAUCUAUACAAUCAAUAUCAUCAAUAUCAUCAUGACAGUUCGUCUGAAAUAUAAUCAUACACAACUGUUGGCAACGGAUCACUCGGCUCUC